RNAcentral lists this unclassified non-coding RNA (251 nucleotides) under Ascomycota sp. RNAcentral's name for it is "partial contains small subunit ribosomal RNA, internal transcribed spacer 1, and 5.8S ribosomal RNA". The stretch from base 1 to 47 matches the Rfam family "Eukaryotic small subunit ribosomal RNA", at positions 1785 to 1831 of the family's 1831-position model. Lineage: Eukaryota; Fungi; Ascomycota. The record is from RNAcentral.
AAAGUCGUAACAAGGUCUCCGUUGGUGAACCAGCGGAGGGAUCAUUACAAGAGGCCGAAAGGCUGCUUCAAACCAUCGCGAACUCGUCCAUGUUGCUUCGGCGGCGCGGGGCCCUCUCCGGGCGCCGCAGGCCCGGCCUCUCCGGAGGUGCGGGGCCGCCCGCCGGAGGUACGAAACCCUGAACUGUACUGUAAUCUCUGAGUAAGCAAGCAAAUAAGUUAAAACUUUCAACAACGGAUCUCUUGGUUCUG